Molecule: transfer RNA, 73 nt
Filed under: Candidatus Woesearchaeota archaeon
Lineage: Archaea; Nanobdellati; Candidatus Woesearchaeota
Description: tRNA-Thr
Rfam family: tRNA
About the family: Transfer RNA (tRNA) molecules are approximately 80 nucleotides in length.
Source: RNAcentral
GCCCCGGUGGCCUAGUGGCUAUGGCACCUGACUUGUAAUCAGGAGAUCGCGAGUUCAACUCUCGCUCGGGGCU